This 478-nucleotide ribosomal RNA is filed under the name uncultured bacterium. RNAcentral describes it as "partial 16S ribosomal RNA". It matches the Rfam family "Bacterial small subunit ribosomal RNA", at positions 28 to 507 of the family's 1533-position model. The record is from RNAcentral.
GAUGAACGCUGGCGGCGUGCUUAACACAUGCAAGUCGAACGGGAAACCUUUUAUUGAAGCUUCGGCAGAUUUAGCUGGUUUCUAGUGGCGGACGGGUGAGUAACGCGUGGGUAACCUGCCUUAUACAGGGGGAUAACAACCAGAAAUGGUUGCUAAUACCGCAUAAGCGCACAGGACCGCAUGGUCCGGUGUGAAAAACUCCGGUGGUAUAAGAUGGACCCGCGUUGGAUUAGCUAGUUGGCAGGGUAACGGCCUACCAAGGCGACGAUCCAUAGCCGGCCUGCGAGGGUGAACGGCCACAUUGGGACUGAGACACGGCCCAGACUCCUACGGGAGGCAGCAGUGGGGAAUAUUGCACAAUGGGGGAAGCCCUGAUGCAGCGACGCCGCGUGAAGGAAGAAGUAUCUCGGUAUGUAAACUUCUAUCAGCAGGGAAGAUAGUGACGGUACCUGACUAAGAAGCCCCGGCUAACUACGUG